This 1329-nucleotide long non-coding RNA is filed under the name Olea europaea subsp. europaea. Lineage: Eukaryota; Viridiplantae; Streptophyta; Magnoliopsida; Lamiales; Oleaceae. The record is from RNAcentral.
GGACAACACUGCUCGACGCUUUCAGUUGGAAUAUGAAAUCGUGUUAUAAUCAGGGCAAUCUCUCUAUUCAGGAUUAUUUUUCUGGGUUUCAAAACCUAUGGACAGAAUUUACUGAUCUGGUUUAUGCUUCGGUACCAGAAGAAUCUCUCUCUGCUAUUCAGAAGGUUCACGAGCAAAGCAAAAGAGAUCAGUUUCUAAUGAAAUUAUGGGCUGAAUUUGAGGUCACUCAUUCAAAUAUGAUGAAUCGUGUUCCUUCACCUACACUGGAUGUUUGUUUUAGGGUGUUACUCCAUGAAGAACAACGUAUUGCCAUGUAAGCCACUUUCCAACAGGACAAAUUGAUACCGACUGCAGUUGCUUAUGUCGCUCAUGGAAAAGGCAAUGAACGAGAUAUGAGAAAAGUUCAGUGCUUCAGAUGUAAAGAACAUGGACAUAUUGCUGCUCACUGUGUGAAGAAGUCUUGCAACUACUGUAAGAAAUCGGGACAUGUUAUCAAAGAAUGUCCUACUCGUCCUCAAAAUCGUCAGUUUAAUGCCUAUCAAGCUACAGUUGGUUUCACUUUCUCCACCACAAGUUCAUCUGCAGCAAUAGAUGAUUGUUUCAGCCUUCUCAACUUUAGGGCUUCAAGGUAACGGUUCAUCUUGGCUUGUUGAUCUGGCGCAUCUAAUCAUAUGACUAGUUCAUCUGACAUUCUUCAUAAUAUUUGAAAAUAUCAUGGAUCAUCUAAAAUUCAGACUGUUAAUAGUAAUCAAUUGCAUAUUCAAGCAGUUGGAGACAUUAAUUCUUCAUUCAAAGAUGUGCUUAUAUCUCCUGAACUUUCUAGUAAUCUUAUUUCGGUCGGAUAGUUAGUUGAUAAUAACUGUGAUGUUUAGUUUUCUCAUGAUGGUUGCCUUGUACAGGAUCAGGUGUUGAGGAAGAUACUAGCGAAGGGGCCUAAAGUUGGAUGUUUGUUUCCUAUGCAUUUUUCCAUUCCUAGUUUCAUGUCUUUAUUUUGCACUACUGUAAACAAUAAGAGUGAAGUAUGACAUAAACGUUUGGGACACCCAAACUGUGUCGUUUUAUCUCAUUUGUUAAACUUUGGUAUGUUGGGAAAUAAAGAUAAAAUUUGUGCCAUCUCUUUUGAUUGCUCUACUUGUACAUUGGGUAAAAGUAAGUCCUUCUCAUUUCAAUCUCAUAGCAGUCAUUCUGAGCACUGUUUUGAUUUAAUUCACAGUGCUGUUUGGGGAAUAUCACAUGUUAUCUCUCAUGCCCACUAUAAAUACUUUGUCACAUUUAUUGAUGACUACAGUAGGUAUACUUGAAUUUAUUUUCUUCGAUCUAAAUAUGAAG